GGGUCUAUAGCUCAGUUGGUUAGAGCGCACCCUGAUAAGGGUGAGGCCAGUGGUUCGAGUCCACCUAGACCCACCA
This 76-nucleotide transfer RNA is filed under the name Thiothrix lacustris. RNAcentral's name for it is "tRNA-OTHER". It matches the Rfam family "tRNA". From Rfam's summary of the family: Transfer RNA (tRNA) molecules are approximately 80 nucleotides in length. Lineage: Bacteria; Pseudomonadati; Pseudomonadota; Gammaproteobacteria; Thiotrichales; Thiotrichaceae. The record is from RNAcentral.